This 66-nucleotide transfer RNA is filed under the name Necrodes littoralis. RNAcentral describes it as "tRNA-Arg". Lineage: Eukaryota; Metazoa; Arthropoda; Insecta; Coleoptera; Silphidae. The record is from RNAcentral.
AAAUAAGAAACAAAUUAUUGUAUUUAGUUUCGACCUAAAAAUUUGGCCUAGGGGGGCCCUUAUUUA